GACGAACGCUGGCGGCGUGCUUAACACAUGCAAGUCGAACGGAAAGGCCCUGCUUUUGUGGGGUGCUCGAGUGGCGAACGGGUGAGUAACACGUGAGUAACCUGCCCUUGACUUUGGGAUAACUUCAGGAAACUGGGGCUAAUACCGGAUAGUAGCUCCUGCUGCAUGGUGGGGGUUGGAAAGUUUCGGCGGUUGGGGAUGGACUCGCGGCUUAUCAGCUUGUUGGUGGGGUAGUGGCUUACCAAGGCUUUGACGGGUAGCCGGCCUGAGAGGGUGACCGGCCACAUUGGGACUGAGAUACGGCCCAGACUCCUACGGGAGGCAGCAGUGGGGAAUAUUGCACAAUGGGCGGAAGCCUGAUGCAGCAACGCCGCGUGCGGGAUGACGCCUUCGGGUUGUAAACCGCUUUCGCCUGUGACGAAGCGUGAGUGACGGUAAUGGGUAAAGAAGCACCGGCUAACUACGUG
Molecule: ribosomal RNA, 467 nt
Filed under: uncultured bacterium
Lineage: Bacteria
Description: partial 16S ribosomal RNA
Rfam family: Bacterial small subunit ribosomal RNA
Source: RNAcentral